This 484-nucleotide ribosomal RNA is filed under the name uncultured bacterium. RNAcentral describes it as "partial 16S ribosomal RNA". It matches the Rfam family "Bacterial small subunit ribosomal RNA", at positions 30 to 507 of the family's 1533-position model. The record is from RNAcentral.
AUUGAACGCUGGCGGCAGGCCUAACACAUGCAAGUCGAGCGGAUGAAGGGAGCUUGCUCCUGGAUUCAGCGGCGGACGGGUGAGUAAUGCCUAGGAAUCUGCCUGGUAGUGGGGGAUAACGUCCGGAAACGGGCGCUAAUACCGCCUACGUCCUGAUGGUGAAAGUGGGGGAGCUUCGGACCUCACGCUAUCAGAUGAGCCUAGGUCGGAUUAGCUAGUUGGUGGGGUAAAGGCCUACCAAGGCGACGAUCCGUAACUGGUCUGAGAGGAUGAUCAGUCGCCCUGGAACUGAGACACGGUCCAGACUCCUACGGGAGGCAGCAGUGGGGAAUAUUGGACAAUGGGCGAAAGCCUGAUCCAGCCAUGCCGCGUGUGUGGAGAAGGUGUUCGGAUUGUAAAGCACUUUAAGUUGGGAGGAAGGGCAGUAAGUUAAUACCUUGCUGUUUUGACGUUACCAACAGAAUAAGCACCGGCUAACUUCGUG